UACGUAGGGUGCGAGCGUUGUCCGGAAUUAUUGGGCGUAAAGAGCUCGUAGGCGGCCUGUCGCGUCGGUUGUGAAAGCCCGGGGCUUAACCCCGGGUCUGCAGUCGAUACGGGCAGGCUAGAGUUCGGUAGGGGAGAUCGGAAUUCCUGGUGUAGCGGCGAAAUGCGCAGAUAUCAGGAGGAACACCGGUGGCGAAGGCGGAUCUCUGGGCCGAUACUGACGCUGAGGAGCGAAAGCGUGGGGAGCGAACAGG
RNAcentral lists this ribosomal RNA (253 nucleotides) under uncultured bacterium. RNAcentral's name for it is "partial 16S ribosomal RNA". It matches the Rfam family "Bacterial small subunit ribosomal RNA", at positions 524 to 776 of the family's 1533-position model. The record is from RNAcentral.